Carcharodon carcharias (great white shark) is the source of this 806-nucleotide long non-coding RNA. RefSeq lists it as uncharacterized. NCBI's taxonomy places the organism in Eukaryota, Metazoa, Chordata, Chondrichthyes, Lamniformes, Lamnidae. The record is from RefSeq and is a predicted model, not a curated record. The transcript has 2 exons.
UUUUUUUUCCUCUAUAUGAAGAAUGCCCAGCCUCUACUUGCUGUUUCUCCUUAACAAUUAUUUGAGGCACCAUAUUCUCCAGAUGAAAAACAGACAUGAAUGCACAUCUUACAACUGUGCUACAUAACAGACUGAAGUAUCAACACAGUGCUGUCAGACCUGCUAAAGUCCUACAGAAUCUAACUCCAUUUUUAACAUAAUUCUUAUGGGAAUCUAUGUUUUACUUAAAGUCACAAUUUUAAGUGGGAACUUAAAAGUCAAGAGCUAGAUUUCAUUUCCAAGAAGAUUGUAACAAUGGGAUGUUAAUCUAUGACCCUUACUGUUCUAUCUUGCACAAAAUUGAAAUAGAUAUUGGUCUAUCAAUUAUAAAUGGAAGGAAAACAUCACAUUUCAGCACCUUAACAAAUGUGUAACCACGGAUUGCCUUGAAGAGCAGUACAGCCACCAUGGAUAAUGCAUAGACCCGAAUGUAAAAGUUCUGAUGCGGAUGGUCUCUUAUGCUGUUGCUGAUGCAGGUCACGUUACCUUCAGUAACAGACAUAUUCUGAAAAAUAAUAUCAGAUACAAUGUUCGAUCUCUUAAGGAGUCAGUCUACAAUCAUCUGCCCAGUUCAUACAAGAUAUUCAUUGUUGUGUACGAUAUAAAUGCAACAUGGAAUUUUGUUUUUUGUUUUUGCAUUGAACUUCUGUUGAAGUUUGAAAGCAUUAAAUGACAUAAGGUCCAAAGCACUAGUUUUUGAUAUAGGAUUGACAGCUUUUAUCACUCUAUUGUACCAUAAAAAAUUAUAAAAUGAAUGCAUGACAAUG